RNAcentral lists this transfer RNA (72 nucleotides) under Camelus bactrianus (Bactrian camel). It matches the Rfam family "tRNA". Rfam says of the family: Transfer RNA (tRNA) molecules are approximately 80 nucleotides in length. RNAcentral also lists the same sequence under 1 other name. Lineage: Eukaryota; Metazoa; Chordata; Mammalia; Artiodactyla; Camelidae. The record is from Rfam by way of RNAcentral.
GUGGGUAUAGCUCAGUGGUAGAGUAUAUGCUUAGCAUGCAUGAGGACCUGGGUUCAAUCCCCAGUACCUCCA